ACUCCCCUCUCCUCCCAACUGUGUCCAUUCAUUCCUGCGGAGUCCGCACGUGGGCUGCUCUUCCUCUGGGUUCCCGCCCCUGAAGGCGCAGGAGGCUGUGACCACGCCCCUUUUGGAGCCUUCCUGGGCUCAGGGAGGGGCUUUGCCUGCGGCCUUGUUUCAAGUGUGGGAAUGGCCUCCUGACUCCCAAUCCGAAACAACUGCUGAGCACAGAAGGCAGAGCAGGGCCCUGAGAGUCAGAGGAAAAUGCUGCUGCGGGGACUGGGGAGCCCCAUCGGGUGACUCCCCAGAGAUGUGAGCAGGUGCAGAGGCUGGAACAACAGUGCUGCAGGAAAGUCUCUCCCGUGGAUGCUGUGGCCUGGGGCUUGGGUGACGACGUGCACGGCUGCCUCCUCGCUGUCACGUGCUCUGCUGGCUCGUCUCCAAGCUGUGCUGCUCAUGUUCCAAAGUCUCCCUGGAGGCUUUAGUGAAAAGCCCUUUCCCCGGUGACCUGGAGUGUCUUGCUAGAUGGAGCUGGCCAAGCCUGACGUCUUUUCCUGGCCGAUGCCUCAGUCCUUAUGCAAAGUGUGAACUUGGCCUUUACAUCCUUCUCCGCAGAGCACUGCAAGCAGCCAGUCCCACUGGAACAUAAGAUGAAGCUUUUGUUCCCAUGGCUGGAUACACUUUGGAUCUUGGAAUGCAAUAAUUACUUCAGCUGGAUCUGGUUCGUGGAGUACUUGGCCAGGGCUCUGCCUCAUGCCAUGGUCCUACAAGAUAUGUGAGGAGGUGGACAUCUUUGCGUAGCCCUCCUCCAGAGGCAAGUGGAUUCCUUCCAUAACCCAGAGAAGGCCGCUUGGGAAUGAGGCUGAGAAGCCAGACUUUUUGGCACACAAAGAAAAAGGGAGUUUUCAAAGUUGCCGCAAAUCAUGCAGGAAGAGAAAACAGGACAUUAGUGGACACUGAUUCUUCCCCUCUGCUGAACUCUGAGUCCAGUUUAAAUCUUUAAUAACAUAACACAUGGAGAAAAUUGCUUAUAUAAAAUGAUCACCUUUCUUUUAAAAAAAAAAAAUUAUAGAGACUGGGUCUUGCUCUAUUGCCCAUGCUGGAGUGCAGUGGCUUGAUCAUAGCUCACUGCAGCUUUGAACUGUUAGGCUCAUAUGAUCCCCAUGUCUCUGUCUCCUGAAUAGCUGGGACUACAGGUGGACACUACCAUGCCUAAUUUUUUAGUUUUUUUUUUUUUUGAGAUAGGAUCUUGCUAUGUUGCCCACGCUGGUCUUGAACUCCUGGUCUCAAGCAGUUAUUCUGCCUCAGCCUCCCAAAGUGCUGGGAUUACAGGCAUAAAACACCACACUCAGCCAGAAGAAAUUAUCAUCUUUCUAAAAUCAAACUUCUCUUAUAUUCUGGGAACCUACUGAGGAAGGCACAGAUUUAUCCUCUAGAUGCCAGAAGGCUAGAAUUGGGAAAGCUUCGAAGCUUAAACAGGGCAAAGCGUAGGUCAUAGAAGAAUGUAUUAUCUAUUGCUAUGCAACAAAUUACUCUAAAACUUUAAAAACACAAACAUUUAUUAUCUCUCAGUUUUUCUGGGUGAGAAUCUGGGUAUGGCUUUGCUUGCUGCUUCUGACUCAAGGUCUCUCACCUGUCAAGGCUGCAAUCAAAGUGUCGGCGGGGGCUGCAGUCUCAUCUGAAGGCUUGCCUGGGGAGAACACACUUCCAAGCUCACUGCCAUGGUGGAUGGAAAGCCUCAGGGGUACUGCAAUUGAGGGGAGAAAAUGGCCAACUUGAGCCAGGGUGCAAUGACAUCAAGAGGCCUGGGAGCUGAGGAGAAAAGACUAAGGAGCCUGAGGAAUGGAUGUGGGUCUGGAAGAGAGCUGGAAGAGUACAUGGUCCUGGGAGCCUCCUGGGGAAAGUGCUUUAAGUAGGAGGCAGAGACCAACUGGUUCCCAUGGUGCCAAUGAGUCAUGUGAGAUAAGGACUGAGAGUUGACAUUAGGAGUGGCAGUGGAGGGGCAUGUAGUGACUUUGACUAGAGCUAUUUCCAUGGGAUGAGGAGGGUGAGGGAAGCUGACUAGUGUGGGCUCAGUUUAUGCUGGAGGAGAGGACUGGGAGAAUAAUGCUCCUUCAUGUUCCUCAGUUAUGCUGUAAAGGGGAACGAGAAGCAGUAGCCGGAGAGGACUGGGGGAAGGGGCAUCUAGGUUUCAUCCAUGCAUCUGAUGGGAAUGAUCCUGCAAAGGGGAAAUGAACAAUGCAGGCGAGAGAAGCAAGCCCUGCUGGACACAUCCUUGAGUAGGCAGAAGCCAAUGUCUGGUGCAUAGGCAGAGGGCUGGCUUUAGGUGGGAAGGAUGGGUGGGAAGAUGAGCCGGCAUAGAAGGGGUAGAGGGGGCUUGCAGAAGCACUUUCUGAUGGUGUCUGUCUCUUCACUGAAAUGGGAAGCCAGGUUGUCAUUGUAGCCACCUCCCAGUGGGGCAAAGAGGAGGGAGUGAGAUGCCUCAUGAAAAGCAAUGCUUGGGGUCUGGUGUAGAGUAAUAACUCAGUAAAUCCAUUGUCUUCUUGCUUACCUCUAAGUUAUAGUGAUCACAUUUUCCAGACCAAAUAUCUGAACCUGGAAUCUGGCAGGUGCCUUAGGGGCCAAUGGGUGUGACUGAUUGAAAAAUCAGAAUGUCUCAGAAACACCUAGACUUUUAAUUUCCAAACAACAGACAUGAUAAGCAUCCAGGGCCUGUCAUGUAUAUUAUGGAACGUAAUGCCACUUUCUUUGGCCCUUUUCCAAAGCAGAUGAUAUCCCAGCACCAGGGAAAAUGGUUUCAAUAUCAAGUUGGGUCAGCAGCAUCUUUCUACCUAUUUCUGUCUUCGUGGUCUUUAUAUUUGAAAUAAUCAUUACUAUUUUAUGCAUUCUCUCCCCAUCCUGCAUUACAGAAGGAACGUUCCUA
This 2905-nucleotide long non-coding RNA is filed under the name Homo sapiens (human). Its description in RNAcentral is "HSALNT0226039". The record is from RNAcentral. Lineage: Eukaryota; Metazoa; Chordata; Mammalia; Primates; Hominidae.